RNAcentral lists this non-coding RNA (32 nucleotides) under Mus musculus (house mouse). The record is from RNAcentral. Lineage: Eukaryota; Metazoa; Chordata; Mammalia; Rodentia; Muridae.
UGAAAUGUCCAGACUCCACUUGGAGUGACGUC